UACGUAGGGAGCAAGCGUUGUCCGGAAUCAUUGGGCGUAAAGCGCGCGUAGGUGGCUCUGUAAGUCCGUUGUGAAAGUCAAAGGCUCAACCUUUGAAAGCCGAUGGAUACUGCAGAGCUAGAGUACGGAAGAGGCGAGUGGAAUUCCUGGUGUAGCGGUGGAAUGCGCAGAUAUCAGGAGGAACACCAAUUGCGAAGCAGCUCGCUGGACGUUACUGACGCUGAGACGCGAAAGCGUGGGGAGCAAACAGG
This 251-nucleotide ribosomal RNA is filed under the name uncultured bacterium. RNAcentral's name for it is "partial 16S ribosomal RNA". It matches the Rfam family "Bacterial small subunit ribosomal RNA", at positions 524 to 776 of the family's 1533-position model. The record is from RNAcentral.